RNAcentral lists this non-coding RNA (110 nucleotides) under uncultured Clostridium sp. RNAcentral describes it as "FMN riboswitch (RFN element)". It matches the Rfam family "FMN riboswitch aptamer (RFN element)". From Rfam's summary of the family: The RFN element is a highly conserved domain that is found frequently in the 5'-untranslated regions of prokaryotic mRNAs that encode for flavin mononucleotide (FMN) biosynthesis and transport proteins. This element is a metabolite-dependent riboswitch that directly binds FMN in the absence of proteins. The record is from RNAcentral. Lineage: Bacteria; Bacillati; Bacillota; Clostridia; Eubacteriales; Clostridiaceae.
AAUCUUCAGGGCAGGGUGUGAUUCCCUACUGGCGGUAUAGCCCGCGAGCUUGUAAUGAGCUGAUUCGGUUAAAUUCCGAAGCCAACAGUAUAGUCUGGAUGAAAGAAGAA